RNAcentral lists this long non-coding RNA (439 nucleotides) under Bos taurus (domestic cattle). RNAcentral's name for it is "long non-coding RNA NONBTAT001610". Lineage: Eukaryota; Metazoa; Chordata; Mammalia; Artiodactyla; Bovidae. The record is from RNAcentral.
UACAGGUGAAUAUGCAGUAUCCAGGUUUACCUGGGGACGAUGUUAUAAAAUGGAUUCUGCUUCAGGAGGGCUGGGGACAACGCAGCCUCCGGAUCUGCAGUGAUCCCACAGCAGCUCACUGUGGGACUAAACUUGGAGCAGGACAGAGUUGAGGAAGUUUCCGGGGUGACCCAGGGAUCAAGGGAGCCUGCGGCUCAGCUCCCUGCCACCAUGCUGCCUCCAACAUUCUGGAGCACCUCCGUCAUGCAGCCUAAAUGUGGUGGUCGAAAGUGAAAUGCAGACCAUCUUUUCAUCCCAAGUGAAUUAUUUCAAAUCAGAGGAAAGUAAGAUGCAGGCUUUUGAUGAAUGUUCUCUGAGUGUCAUGUGAUGACAAUGCUUAGAGAAACAAGCACACGUAUGCAAAGUCAGGAGUGGAAUCCACUCCACACAGAACCAAGAG